AAAGAAAAAGAGGUUUAAUGGACACACAGUCCCACAUGGCCGGGGAGGCCUCCCAAUCGUGGCGGAAUGUCUUACAUGGUGGCAGGCAAGUGCGUGUGUGCAGGGGACCUGCCCUUUAGAAAACCAUCAGAUCUCGUGAGACUUCCUCACUAUCAUGAGAACAGCAUGGGAAAGACUCGCCCCCAUCAUUCAAUCACCUCCCACUGGGUCUUUCCCACAACACGUGGGGAUUAUGGGAGCUACAAUUCAGGAUGAGAUUUGGGUAGCAGCACGGCUAAACCAUACGCGCUUUGUGGAGACCAGCUUGCUCACCGUCACCCAGCUGGUGAUUGGGGAGGACGAGAAUCAAAGCCACAUUCUCAUGGCUUCCAUGUUCUUCCCUUUGUGCCACCGCAUGGUCAGUGAAAGAGCCCUGUCCUGGAGGGUAGAAAGUCUGCUUAAUUCUCGGCCCCGCUGUUUACUGCAUGUGGGAUCCCAGGGAAGGGAGCCUUUACCCUGAGAGCCACGGCUGGUGCUUCCUGAUGAGUGCUGCCCAGGAGCCGAUCUAGGGGGCUAACAUGGGAAAGCACACAUAAACAUGCUUUGAAAACUGUGCUCAGCACAUGCAGGUGUGUACGAGGAGAGAAUUGAGAACCUGGACCUCUGAUCAUAGACUUGACCUUGGAGCCCAGGGACACCUCAAGAGAUGGUGUAUGGGCCCAGCAAUUAACUCCAACAGGAUUUGAGGAACUGGAUGGAGGCCAGGACCUCCAACUCCAAACUCCACUCUCUCCACUCUCCUGGUGUUAGUGGGUGCCCUGACAAUCAGCACCUUUGCUUCAGGCAUUAUCCCCCAUCUACCCACUCUAUAUCCAUCAUCUACCCAUCCACCCACUCAUCCAUCCAUCCAUCCAUUCACCCAUUCACCCAUCCACCCAUUCAUCCAUCCAUUCUGCCCAUCCAGCCAUCCACCCAUUCAUCCAUCCAUUCAUCCAUCUACCCAUCCAGCCAUCCACCCAUCCAUUCACCCAUUCACCUAUCAACCCAUUCAUCAUUCCAUUCAUCCAUCUACCCAUCCAUUCAUCCACCCAUUUGCCUAUCCACCCAUUCAUCCAUCCAUUCAUCCAUCUACCCAUGCAGCCAUCCACCCAUUCACCUAUCCACCCACUCAUCCAUCCAUUCACCCACCCACCCAUCAACCCAUUCAUCCACCCAUCCGCACAUCCCCCUAUCCACCCAUCCAUCCAUUUUCCUUCCUUCUAUUUACCCAUCCAUUUGCCUACCACACACUCAUCC
Molecule: long non-coding RNA, 1275 nt
Organism: Aotus nancymaae (Ma's night monkey)
Lineage: Eukaryota; Metazoa; Chordata; Mammalia; Primates; Aotidae
Source: Ensembl